This 459-nucleotide ribosomal RNA is filed under the name uncultured bacterium. Its description in RNAcentral is "bacterial SSU rRNA". It matches the Rfam family "Bacterial small subunit ribosomal RNA", at positions 29 to 524 of the family's 1533-position model. The record is from RNAcentral.
AGUGAACGUUGGCGGCGUGGAUUAGGCAUGCAAGUCGAGCGAUCGUAGCAAUACGGGAGCGGCAAACGGGGUAGGAAUACAUCGGAACGUACCUUUUGGUUGAGAAUAGCGUUGGGAAACUGACGGUAAUACUCAAUAAAGUCGAGAGACCAAAGGUUUACUGCCGGAAGAGCGGCCGAUGCGAUAUUAGGUAGUUGGUGGGGUAAUGGCCUACCAAGCCUGAGAUGUCUAGGGGGUGUGAGAGCAUGGCCCCCACCACUGGGACUGAGAUACUGCCCAGACACCUACGGGUGGCUGCAGUCGAGGAUCUUCGUCAAUGGGCGAAAGCCUGAACGAGCGACGCCGCGUGCGGGAUGAAGGCCCUUGGGUUGUAAACCGCUGUCAGGGGGGAUGAAACCGUAAGGUUGACAGAGCCCCAGAGGAAGCACGGGCUAAGUUCGUGCCAGCAGCCGCGGUAAU